Molecule: ribosomal RNA, 480 nt
Filed under: uncultured bacterium
Lineage: Bacteria
Description: bacterial SSU rRNA
Rfam family: Bacterial small subunit ribosomal RNA
Source: RNAcentral
AUUGAACGCUGGCGGCAUGCCUUACACAUGCAAGUCGAACGGCAGCACGGGAGCAAUCCUGGUGGCGAGUGGCGAACGGGUGAGUAAUGUAUCGGAACGUACCUUUCAGUGGGGGAUAACGUAGCGAAAGUUACGCUAAUACCGCAUAUUCUGUGAGCAGGAAAGCAGGGGAUCGCAAGACCUUGCGCUGAUUGAGCGGCCGAUAUCAGAUUAGCUAGUUGGUGAGGUAAAGGCUCACCAAGGCGACGAUCUGUAGCGGGUCUGAGAGGAUGAUCCGCCACACUGGAACUGAGACACGGUCCAGACUCCUACGGGAGGCAGCAGUGGGGAAUCUUAGACAAUGGGCGCAAGCCUGAUCUAGCCAUGCCGCGUGAGCGAUGAAGGCCUUAGGGUUGUAAAGCUCUUUCAGGGGGGAAGAUAAUGACUGUACCCCCAGAAGAAGCCCCGGCUAACUCCGUGCCAGCAGCCGCGGUAAAGUAC